AUGUGGCUUGUUGCUGGCUUUGGUGGUCGGUAUGCUUCGUCGUCGUCGUCUUUUCUUUCUUCUUCUUCUUCUUCUUUUUCUUUUUUUAAAAGGGAAAUGGUGUUAUGCGGCUGGCACGGCGUAUGUAAAAAAGGAAGCUUUUUGUUAGGUGUCUUGUUGGUGGAAAUGGGAUGGGGCUAAAGCAGCUCCACGCGCGAGUUUGGUUGUAGCGUGUUCUCUCGUUUCUUGGUGAUCGUAAUUGAGGGAGAAGCUUCGGCAUGCUUGUUGAUGUACGUUGACACGCAUUUGGGCGACCGCAGCGCGAAGGAAUGAAAUCAAAUGUUAGCUUUCUCAUUGGAUCGAGAGCUUAAGAUUCAAACGAAAAUCUUUUGAUCGUUCAACAAACUUAAAAAAAAAGAACUAGUGUAAUACCUGAAGCGAAUACAAGAAAAUGACAGAAAAAUGUUUUGAGCUCCCAGCGGUCGACCACAAUGGCAGGCACGGUCGACCGGAAACAUGCACGAGACCUGGGGAGAUCUCUAGACUUUUGGCGGUCGACUGCAGUGUCAAGUGCGGUCGAUCGGCCAAACCCUGUAGUGAUUUCUGCUUUUUAUCGUUGGAUCCGGUCUACUGCACGUGUCUCUGCGGUUGACCGCGGGUCGGGUUGGGCUUGAGUUUUGGUUUCCUGUUCGCUUUGGGUUUGCGUUUUGAUAUAUAUUAAAACACGAUUUUCUAGCGUUUCUAAUCAGAGAUUUUAGAUUGUACUAAGUAUAUUGAGAGGGAGAACUUGUGAGCAAGUUGAGAGAUUUGAUUUAGAGUUUAUUUGAGUGAUUUUGUGAGAUUGUAACCCUUUGUACUCUCCUUGAGUUAGUAGAAUCUCCCCAUCCUGUGGACGUAGACAAA
Asparagus officinalis (garden asparagus) is the source of this 882-nucleotide long non-coding RNA. RefSeq lists it as uncharacterized. NCBI's taxonomy places the organism in Eukaryota, Viridiplantae, Streptophyta, Magnoliopsida, Asparagales, Asparagaceae. The transcript is spliced from 3 exons. The record is from RefSeq and is a predicted model, not a curated record.